GCCGAGCUAGAAUCGCUUUGUUUCCAAUAGGGCGGGAAGACGUGAUUUCCUCACUCUACGCUGAGGUGGUGAAGCCGCCACUCUCACUAGUCUUUGUCCACUUGGAGGAAUGCAUGUCUCCCUCGAUGUACAAAGAUCGGGAAUCUAAUGUGACGAGUAGUAGUCGGGAUUAUUCGGAUCCAUUUUGGAAGAGUUUGAAAGAGAGGAUGAUGAAGAGAAUUGAAAGAAUUUGAGAGGGAGAUGAUGA
This 247-nucleotide long non-coding RNA is filed under the name Salvia miltiorrhiza (redroot sage). RNAcentral describes it as "long non-coding RNA (SMIL_LNC011596)". Lineage: Eukaryota; Viridiplantae; Streptophyta; Magnoliopsida; Lamiales; Lamiaceae. The record is from RNAcentral.